UGGGAUAUAGCCAAAAGGUAAGGCAGUGAUUUUUGAUGUCAUUAUGUAAGGGUUCGAGUCCUUUUAUCCCAA
RNAcentral lists this transfer RNA (72 nucleotides) under Paravannella minima. Its description in RNAcentral is "tRNA-Gln". It matches the Rfam family "tRNA". From Rfam's summary of the family: Transfer RNA (tRNA) molecules are approximately 80 nucleotides in length. Lineage: Eukaryota; Discosea; Flabellinia; Vannellidae. The record is from RNAcentral.